This 490-nucleotide ribosomal RNA is filed under the name uncultured bacterium. Its description in RNAcentral is "partial 16S ribosomal RNA". It matches the Rfam family "Bacterial small subunit ribosomal RNA", at positions 30 to 507 of the family's 1533-position model. The record is from RNAcentral.
AUUGAACGCUGGCGGCAGGCCUAACACAUGCAAGUCGAACGGUAACAGAAAGCAGCUUGCUGCUUUGCUGACGAGUGGCGGACGGGUGAGUAAUGUCUGGGAAACUGCCUGAUGGAGGGGGAUAACUACUGGAAACGGUAGCUAAUACCGCAUAACGUCGCAAGACCAAAGAGGGGGACCUUCGGGCCUCUUGCCAUCGGAUGUGCCCAGAUGGGAUUAGCUAGUAGGUGGGGUAAAGGCUCACCUAGGCGACGAUCCCUAGCUGGUCUGAGAGGAUGACCAGCCACACUGGAACUGAGCCACAGUCCAGACUCCUACGGGAGGCAGCAGUGGGGAAUAUUGCACAAUGGGCGCAAGCCUGAUGCAGCCAUGCCGCGUGUAUGAAGAAGGCCUUCGGGUUGUAAAGUACUUUCAGCGGGGAGGAAGGGAGUAAAGUUAAUACCUUUGCUCAUUGACGUUACCCGCAGAAGAAGCACCGGCUAACUCCGUG